Molecule: ribosomal RNA, 252 nt
Filed under: uncultured beta proteobacterium
Lineage: Bacteria; Pseudomonadati; Pseudomonadota; Betaproteobacteria
Description: partial 16S ribosomal RNA
Rfam family: Bacterial small subunit ribosomal RNA
Source: RNAcentral
CGUAGGGUGCAGGCGUUAAUCGGAAUUACUGGGCGUAAAGCGUGCGCAGGCGGUUUGCUAAGACAGGUGUGAAAUCCCCGAGCUUAACUUGGGAAUUGCGCUUGUAACUGGCAAGCUAGAGUGUGGCAGAGGGGGGUGGAAUUCCACGUGUAGCAGUGAAAUGCGUAGAUAUGUGGAGGAACACCGAUGGCGAAGGCAGCCCCCUGGGUUAACACUGACGCUCAUGCACGAAAGCGUGGGGAGCAAACAGGA